UAUCCUAUAUAUUAAAAAACCAACGUUAUGAACAGUAUAAACAGUACUUUCCACCCUUAAAACUUUGCCACGUUACCAGAUCACCAUCAUCGUCCCUUUUUCCCCAAAAUCAAAACCCUAAAUCCCUUCACCUGAUCACCACCAACUUGCUUCUUCACGUCUACUUCAGAAUCUAGAGAGAGACGGGAGCAACUCCCUCCGCCACCACGGCGGACACUUCGUCAUCCGGUCACCCUGAGGAUGCGGUGUGUAGGUCGACAGAGAGAGAGCUGGGAGAAGCGGUGCCGUCCCUGGUGGCGGAGCCACGGCGGCAGCCACAUGCAUAUCGGCAUCUGGUUCUCUCUUCCGCGCUCUCUCCCAUCGUUGCCGCCUCCUUCCAAAGGUCUUCUCUUCCGGUCUCUCUCUCUCAUCACCUACUCUGUUUGGCAGAGGCUGUUACCGACCACUCGCCUUCCCCGGUCAUUGACGUUGUAGGGUGAUGAUGGUCACAGAACGGUAGAAGGGUGUCUUGAUUAUAUCAUGUUGUGGGCAAGGGUAUUUUCAUCAUUUGCGACUCCUUAGAAGGCCACAUGACAUGUGCUCUGGUUGCCACCCACCGCUCCUGGUUGGUGGACAGUGGCGAUGGUUUUGAGUGUGUAUAUCAUUCAAGUUUUUUUACCUCUUUGUCGUUAAUUUUCUUACGGGUUUUGGUUUCUUGGCUGUGAUCUUUUUGUGAGCCUAACGUAUCGAUGUUAUACUAUCUAUUUAGGGCUUUUGGUUUCUUGGCUGUGAUCUAUAUGUGAGCCUACUGAACCGAUGUUUUAUAGCAGUUUUGUGAUCUAACUACAGUAUUUUGCUACAGUUUUGUUGGUUGGCUGUGGUAAUGGGUUCUAUCACUAGGCUAUGAUGACCUCAAAAGUUUUUCCAAGUUGAUGAUGGCAUGGCAAGGAUGGCGGAUGGUAGGGUUUGACCUGCAACCCACCUUGCAGCCACAAUUUCUGUAGAGUGAUGGGAUCAUGAACACAAUUUAUGUGGAAGCAGUCCAGAUCUAAGGUGUCGGUUCCCACAGCACAAGCAAUAUGAUAAUUGGAACUUUCCAGAUACUACCAGACCCAGUCGCUCGCAAAAUCGGUGAACCAGUGAAUUUUUGCUUGACGUUGAAGGCUGAUAUAAAAAAUAUCUUAUAGUUUUUUAACAGUUAGAAGCUAUUUUGUAAGGAUUAGUUUGAUAAAUUUUUUAAUGUACUUUGGAUCAAAUGAAGUAUAACCGGCGCCUUUGGAUAUCCUAAGACAGCUAAAUUGUUCCCCGAGACCUUUUGGCCAACGAUGUUUACGGUUUCGGGUUUCCGUUCACUCGAGCCUCGGGUCAGCGAUUUCGGUUCAGUCCUCAUCAAGACGACGUGGUGUGUUGGCUCGGUUCAUUUUUGGACCCUAUCUUGGUUCGGUUCAGGUGAGCUCAGCUUUGGUUCGGUUCGACAAGUCAACAUCAGUCAGCAUUGAUUCGGGUCAGCUUAGGUCUCAGCUCAAGUGCGGGUCUCGGUGCUGCUCGGUUCAACCCGGUUCGAAUCGGUAUAACGCAAUUGUCCAAAAACAGAGGAAACUUUUUCCGUUAACAGGCGAAACUUGCAGCCAAGCGAAUGUUGCUAAACAUGGCUCCAUGUAAGUUCUCUUGAUCUUAAUUUAUGGGUUUGUUACAAAAAUUUAUCAGUUUGCGUAUGCCACUGAUGGAGUUAUCUAUAUGGGUUUGUUACAAAAACUUAUAACAAACACUUUUUUCAAAACUUGUCCUAACUCUAACCUCUACUUUGAGGACAUAAAAAUACACAGAAACCAUCACAUCUCUUGAUGAGGGCUUUAUAAAAAUAAGUGGAAUGUUGUAUAUAGUUUGUUUUAUGUUCAUCAAUGUCUUUUUUUUGUAA
Molecule: long non-coding RNA, 1897 nt
Organism: Helianthus annuus (common sunflower)
Lineage: Eukaryota; Viridiplantae; Streptophyta; Magnoliopsida; Asterales; Asteraceae
Exons: 6
Source: RefSeq, a predicted model, not a curated record